AGAGUUUGAUCNUGGCUCAGAACGUACGCUGGCGGCACGCCUAACACAUGCAAGUCGAACGAAGUAGCAAUACUUAGUGGCAGACGGGUGAGUAACAUGUGGGUAUCUACCCUUUGGCCUGGAAUAACACGAGGAAACUUGUGCUAAUACCGGAUAAGUCUUUACGGAGAAAGCUUUAUGCACCAUUGGAUGAGCCCGCACUUGAUUAGUUUGUUGGUAGGGUAAUGGCCUACCAAGACUAUGAUCAAUAGCUGAUUUGAGAGGAUGAUCAGCCACAUUGGGGCUGAGACACGGCCCAAACUCCUACGGGAGGCAGCAGUGGGGAAUCUUGCACAAUGGAGGAAACUCUGAUGCAGCGAUGCCGCGUGAGUGAAGAAGGCCCUUGGGUUGUAAAGCUCUUUCGUCGGGGAAGAAAAUGACUGUACCCGAAUAAGAAGGUCCGGCUAACUUCGUGCCAGCAGCCGCGGUAAUACGAAGGGACCUAGCGUAGUUCGGAAUUACUGGGCUUAAAGAGUUCGUAGGUGGUUGAAAAAGUUGGUGGUGAAAUCCCAGAGCUUAACUCUGGAACUGCCAUCAAAACUUUUCAGCUANAGUAUGAUAGAGGAAAGCAGAAUUUCUAGUGUAGAGGUGAAAUUCGUAGAUAUUAGAAAGAAUACCAAUUGCGAAGGCANCUUUCUGGAUCAUUACUGACNCUGAGGAACGAAAGCAUGGGUAGCGAAGAGGAUUAGAUACCCUCGUAGUCCAUGCCGUAAACGAUGUGUGUAGACGUUGGAAAUUUAUUUUCAGUGUCNCAGGAAACCGAUAAACACACCGCCUGGGGAGUACGACCGCAAGGUUAAACUNAAAUGAAUUGACGGGGACCCGCACAAGUAG
This 873-nucleotide ribosomal RNA is filed under the name uncultured bacterium. RNAcentral describes it as "bacterial SSU rRNA". It matches the Rfam family "Bacterial small subunit ribosomal RNA", at positions 8 to 932 of the family's 1533-position model. The record is from RNAcentral.